Molecule: ribosomal RNA, 595 nt
Filed under: Staphylococcus epidermidis
Lineage: Bacteria; Bacillati; Bacillota; Bacilli; Caryophanales; Staphylococcaceae
Description: bacterial LSU rRNA
Rfam family: Bacterial large subunit ribosomal RNA
Source: RNAcentral
UAGGGCUAGCCUCAAGUGAUGAUUAUUGGAGGUAGAGCACUGUUUGGACGAGGGGCCCCUCUCGGGUUACCGAAUUCAGACAAACUCCGAAUGCCAAUUAAUUUAACUUGGGAGUCAGAACAUGGGUGAUAAGGUCCGUGUUCGAAAGGGAAACAGCCCAGACCACCAGCUAAGGUCCCAAAAUAUAUGUUAAGUGGAAAAGGAUGUGGCGUUGCCCAGACAACUAGGAUGUUGGCUUAGAAGCAGCCAUCAUUUAAAGAGUGCGUAAUAGCUCACUAGUCGAGUGACACUGCGCCGAAAAUGUACCGGGGCUAAACAUAUUACCGAAGCUGUGGAUUGUCCUUUGGACAAUGGUAGGAGAGCGUUCUAAGGGCGUCGAAGCAUGAUCGCAAGGACAUGUGGAGCGCUUAGAAGUGAGAAUGCCGGUGUGAGUAGCGAAAGACGGGUGAGAAUCCCGUCCACCGAUUGACUAAGGUUUCCAGAGGAAGGCUCGUCCGCUCUGGGUUAGUCGGGUCCUAAGCUGAGGCCGACAGGCGUAGGCGAUGGAUAACAGGUUGAUAUUCCUGUACCACCUAGUAUCGUUUUAAUCGAUGGG